Molecule: long non-coding RNA, 1000 nt
Organism: Folsomia candida
Lineage: Eukaryota; Metazoa; Arthropoda; Collembola; Entomobryomorpha; Isotomidae
Exons: 2
Source: RefSeq, a predicted model, not a curated record
UGUAAUGCAAAACAAUUAACUCGAGGGGCAAUAGGAAGAUAUCAUUUUACAAAUUACAAAAUGCACCAGACCCCACCAUUCUGUCAUUAUUCUGUUUCAAGUAGUAUUAAAAACCUGUCAUUCUUUUAAGCCAUCACAUUGUUGUUUUCAUACUAAUUUUUAUACCCAUCUAGGACUUCGUCGCCAAAUAUAAAUAAUCUUUGACCUGGUACAUUAGGCGCUAAACAGCAAAACAAAAGAAAACAAAAACAAAGGAAAUAUAAAGCAAGCCAGAACAAACUUACUGGAUGUCCACAAGUGUCCAUUUACUGACCACGGACGGCUGAGUGAAGGCUGGACGGGACUGUUUUGAAAAUCUUUCCGAAUCAACUGAACAAUUUCAAAACAAGGAAUCGAAGAGGAAAUAAAACUCGUGUAGUCGUGUGUCUGUCUGCUGUCUGACUGGGUAGUGGAGCCUUUGUCAGAUCGUACUACGCGUUGCCGCUUCUUGCCGGUGUGGUGGGGGAUGAAGUGAUGCUAUUUCCUUCAUGGAACAUGUCUUGAGCGAGUUUGUUUUAGUUAUGUAUGAUUUCUUCCGCUUCUUCUAUUGCAAUUUUCUUAUCAUUUGAUUCAUCUGCUUGUUUGACUAAGACUAAGAUCGUAUAAAAUUGUAUCAUUUACACAUACCUCUCUUGAAGUGAGUAUAUCAUUUUAUUUAAGUGUCCUACCGACAUAUGACACAUGACACUCGAAAAACGAUGGAUGGACAUACAAUAACAUUUAUUAAUAAUAAAUAACAUUUCACACAUCACAAUGACUUCAUUUACGCAAGUUUAUAAAACAGCAACCUUUUCAAAUAAGAAUCAAUUAAUUGUAUACCAAAGAAAAGUGAAAGGUUGUGGAAGAAUACCAAGUAUGAAGCUACAACGGUAAUAAUGAUUACUGCGUACUGUUGCAUGAACUAAAAUUUAUAUUCCACUGUUGUUUCCUUAUUGUAAAGCAUUCAUCAUUAAAAAAUUGA